GUAGGGUGGCAAGCGUUGUCCGGAAUUAUUGGGCGUUAAAAACGCGCGCAGGGCGGUCCUUUAAGUCUGAUGUGAAAGCCCACGGCUCAACCGUGGAGGGUCAUUGGAAACUGGGGGACUUGAGUACAGAAGAGGAAAGCGGAAUUCCAAGUGUAGCGGUGAAAUGCGUAGAGAUUUGGAGGAACACCAGUGGCGAAGGCGGCUUUCUGGUCUGUAACUGACGCUGAGGCGCGAAAGCGUGGGGAGCAAACAGGAUUAGAUACCCUGGUAGUCCACGCCGUAAACGAUGAGUGCUAAGUGUUAGGGGGUUUCCGCCCCUUAGUGCUGCAGCUAACGCAUUAAGCACUCCGCCUGGGGAGUACGGCCGCAAGGCUG
RNAcentral lists this ribosomal RNA (375 nucleotides) under uncultured organism. Its description in RNAcentral is "partial 16S ribosomal RNA". It matches the Rfam family "Bacterial small subunit ribosomal RNA", at positions 526 to 896 of the family's 1533-position model. The record is from RNAcentral.